RNAcentral lists this ribosomal RNA (663 nucleotides) under uncultured cyanobacterium. RNAcentral's name for it is "bacterial SSU rRNA". It matches the Rfam family "Bacterial small subunit ribosomal RNA", at positions 99 to 795 of the family's 1533-position model. Lineage: Bacteria; Bacillati; Cyanobacteriota. The record is from RNAcentral.
CGGACGGGUGAGUAACGCGUGAGAAUCUACCCUCAGGAUGGGGACAACAGUUGGAAACGACUGCUAAUACCCAAUGUGCCGAAAGGUGAAAGUUAUAUCGCCUGAGGAAGAGCUCGCGACUGAUUAGCUAGUUGGAGGGGUAAAGGCCCACCAAGGCGACGAUCAGUAGCUGGUCUGAGAGGAUGACCAGCCACACUGGAACUGAGACACGGCCCAGACUCCUACGGGAGGCAGCAGUGGGGAAUUUUCCGCAAUGGGCGCAAGCCUGACGGAGCAAGACCGCGUGAGGGAGGAAGGCCUACUGGUUGUAAACCUCUUUUGAUAGGGAAGAAGACAAUGACGGUACCUAUCGAAUCAGCCUCGGCUAACUCCGUGCCAGCAGCCGCGGUAAUACGGAGGAGGCAAGCGUUAUCCGGAAUUAUUGGGCGUAAAGCGUCCGUAGGUGGAUUGUCAAGUCAGUUGUUAAAGCGUGGAGCUUAACUCCAUAAGGGCAAUUGAAACUGAUAGUCUAGAGUGCGAUAGGGGCAAGGGGAAUUCCCAGUGUAGCGGUGAAAUGCGUAGAUAUUGGGAAGAACAUCGGUGGCGAAAGCGCCUUGCUGGGUCUGCACUGACACUGAGGGACGAAAGCUAGGGGAGCGAAAGGGAUUAGAUACCCCUGUAGUC